GAUGAACGCUGGCGGCGUGCCUAAUACAUGCAAGUCGAGCGAACAGACGAGGAGCUUGCUCCUCUUACGUUAGCGGCGGACGGGUGAGUAACACGUGGAUAACCUACCUAUAGGACUGGGAUAACUUCGGGAAACCGGAGCUAAUACCGGAUAAUAUAUUGAACCGCAUGGUUCAAUAGUGAAAGACGGUUUUGCUGUCACUUAUAGAUGGAUCCGCGCCGCAUUAGCUAGUUGGUAAGGUAACGGCUUACCAAGGCGACGAUGCGUAGCCGACCUGAGAGGGUGAUCGGCCACACUGGAACUGAGACACGGUCCAGACUCCUACGGGAGGCAGCAGUAGGGAAUCUUCCGCAAUGGGCGAAAGCCUGACGGAGCAACGCCGCGUGAGUGAUGAAGGUCUUCGGAUCGUAAAACUCUGUUAUUAGGGAAGAACAAAUGUGUAAGUAACUAUGCACGUCUUGACGGUACCUAAUCAGAAAGCCACGGCUAACUACGUG
RNAcentral lists this ribosomal RNA (497 nucleotides) under uncultured bacterium. RNAcentral describes it as "partial 16S ribosomal RNA". It matches the Rfam family "Bacterial small subunit ribosomal RNA", at positions 28 to 507 of the family's 1533-position model. The record is from RNAcentral.